Molecule: ribosomal RNA, 497 nt
Filed under: uncultured bacterium
Lineage: Bacteria
Description: partial 16S ribosomal RNA
Rfam family: Bacterial small subunit ribosomal RNA
Source: RNAcentral
GAUGAACGCUGGCGGCGUGCCUAAUACAUGCAAGUCGAGCGAACAGACGAGGAGCUUGCUCCUCUGACGUUAGCGGCGGACGGGUGAGUAACACGUGGAUAACCUACCUACAAGACUGGGAUAACUUCGGGAAACCGGAGCUAAUACCGGAUAAUAUAUUGAACCGCAUGGUUCAAUAGUGAAAGACGGUUUUGCUGUCACUUAUAGAUGGAUCCGCGCCGCAUUAGCUAGUUGGUAAGGUAACGGCUUACCAAGGCAACGAUGCGUAGCCGACCUGAGAGGGUGAUCGGCCACACUGGAACUGAGACACGGUCCAGACUCCUACGGGAGGCAGCAGCAGGGAAUCUUCCGCAAUGGGCGAAAGCCUGACGGAGCAACGCCGCGUGAGUGAUGAAGGUCUUCGGAUCGUAAAACUCUGUUAUUAGGGAAGAACAAAUGUGUAAGUAACUAUGCACGUCUUGACGGUACCUAAUCAGAAAGCCACGGCUAACUACGUG